AUGAGUGCCGGGGAUCCCGCCGGCGAUGCGGGGCCCAGCUCCCGCCGGGCCGGGGCGGCCGCGCGCCCGCGGCGGUUCCCGACGGCGGCGCAGCCGGAGGUCAUGCGCGCGGCGGAGAAGGACGACAGCUACGCCGCCCACGUCACCGAGGCCUGCCGCGACGCCUUCCGCCACCUCUUCGGUACCAGGGUUGCCGUUGCUUACCAGAACGAGAUAAAAUUGCUUGGGCAGUCCCUCUAUUACUUGCUAACAACUGGUUCUGGCCAGCAAACACUCGGAGAAGAAUAUUGUGAUAUAUCUCAGGUUGCAACCUCACAUGGGCUUCCACCGACACCUGCUAGGCGGAUGCUUUUCAUUUUGUAUCAAACUACUGUGCCCUAUCUCGCUGAAAGAAUCAGUUCGAGAAUUGUCUCCCGUGGUAUUUACAUGGAUGACUCUCAGUUUGAUAAUCAUCAUGAAAAUGAUAAUCCUAGUAGAGGCAUAACAGAAUCCUCUACAAAUACGAAUGAGUCUUCGAGAAGCUUGAGUUUUCCCAUGCUCUCGAGGUUGAGAAGCAAAGCGCAUGCCUUUUGGCUAUGGGUAGUUCAGAAAUGGCCUUCGAUGCUGCCGCUUGGUCAAGAUUUUAUACAGUUGGCUAUACGGACAAACCUGAUGUUCUUCUACUUUGAAGGAUUAUAUUAUCAUUUAUCAAAGCGAGGAGCUGGUAUUCAUUAUGUAUUCAUUGGUAAGCCAAUGAAUCAGAGGCCCAGGUACCAAAUUUUGGGUAUCUUUUUGCUGAUCCAGUUGUGUAUUCUUGGUGCUGAAAGACUCCGAAGAAGUAACUUAUCAUCAAUAGCUAGUUCCAUUAAUCAAAUUUCGUCCGGAAGCUAUCCUUCAUCUACAGGUCGGAGUGUCCCUGUUGUGAAUGAAGAUGGAAAUAUUAUCAGUGACAUCCGUCAUGGCAAAGCUGUAGAUUUGGCUUCUGGUUCAGAGGCAUCCAGUAGCAAGAGCAAGUGCACUCUCUGUCUCAGUACCCGGCAGAAUCCUACUGGCACAACCUGCGGACAUGUCUUCUGCUGGAACUGCAUAAUGGAGUGGUGCAAUGAGAAGCCUGAAUGCCCCCUAUGCAGAACUCCUAUUACCCAUUCAAGUUUAAUUUGUAUAUAUCAUUCAGAUUUCUAG
Molecule: ribosomal RNA, 1161 nt
Filed under: Triticum aestivum (bread wheat)
Lineage: Eukaryota; Viridiplantae; Streptophyta; Magnoliopsida; Poales; Poaceae
Description: partial small subunit ribosomal RNA
Source: RNAcentral